Molecule: long non-coding RNA, 3998 nt
Organism: Passer domesticus (house sparrow)
Lineage: Eukaryota; Metazoa; Chordata; Aves; Passeriformes; Passeridae
Exons: 3
Source: RefSeq, a predicted model, not a curated record
AGCCCGGAGAAGAGGAGCUUGGGGUGACCUCACUGCGGCCUUCCAGUGCCUGAAGGGAAGGUGGAGGAAAGAUGCCCCAAGGCUGUUCAGUAGAGCAUGUAGUGACAGACAAGAGGGAAUGGGUUCACACUGCCAGUAGGUUUAGAUUAGAAGUUAGUGUCAGGAGAUUAAUUCACAGUGCCAAAGGCUUAUGUCCAAAAAGGAGACAGAGGAGAGUCUGGUUCUUUAAGGGAAUCUGGUUACCGGGAAUCUGGUUCAUGCAUCCGCCGGGUUAAGAUACGAUUGUGCCCGCGGUUCCCAGCCAGGAUCUGAUGGAGCCAGCCUGUUCCUCUCCUGGGGACUGGAUCAUCUCUCUUAAGAGGACAGGCUGAGGGAAUCGGGCCUGCUCAGCCUAGAGAAGACACCUCAUCCCUGUGUCAGUGCCCAAAGGGAGGUGGCAGAGCACGGACCAGCUCUCAGCAGUGGAACAAGAGGCACAGGCAGGAGCUGACGCCCAGGAAGUUCCACCUGAACAUGAGGAGAACUUUCCUGUGCAGUGCCCGAGCACUGAACAGGCUGCCCACAGAGGGUGUGGGGUCUCCCUCACUGGGGACAUUCCACAGCAAUCCUGGACACAAUCCUGGGCCAUGAGCUCCGGGAUGGCCCUGCUGGAGCAGGGAGGUGGGGCCACUGUGUUCCCUGCCAACCUGACCCAUUCUGUGAUUCCCUAUUCACUGUGGUGAGCUGGGCUCUUAAUAAAUGUCAUUGCUCUUCCCCCAUAUCUUUUAUCCAGCAUUGAUUCACUGUUUCAUUUCCUGUAUCAGGAUGUUUUAUAUUUUUUUCCUCUUCAGGUUACUAGAAUCUCCAUGCUUUUAACAAUCAAGAUAAAAAAACACAUUCCCUUUUACCCCCAAAAUCCUCAUUAUGUGUCAAAAGCAGGCAUCAGAAAUCAACCCACAGCAGUGGUGCACUGGCAUUCUGGUUUGAAGAGUCUCUUGGCAGAUUUCUGUCAAAGGCUUCCCUAACAUACAGCAGAACCCAAAAUGACUGCAAUCUCCUUCAUUGUGUCCUCAGCCUCAUGCUUGCACAGCUUUUGACAUACUAAGAGAUAGGCCAAGGGGCACCACAAAUGGUUUCAGCUGCAGAGGGACUGUUGCUACCAAAACAAUGAUUCAUUCUGGCUUUCAGCCUGUCGUUUAGUACAUCUUGGGAAAAUACUCAUAGGAAGCAGGCUGAGUCUGGAGAAACUGUCCAGAGAUACCUGAUCCAAUUAUCUGAAACACCUCUUACUUACACAGGAAACCCUGACAGAUAUUUUUAUUCCAAGAUGAGACACUUAAUCGUUUUGCACAGAAAAAAGGUUGUUUCUCUACAUUUUAUUCCGUGCUAGAAAAUCCCAGAGAAAACAUGAGGAUUAGGCAACUGUAUGUGACAGAAUUAAUUUCAUCAUUUCACCUAGUUGCACCUUUUCUUUUCCUUAAAAUCUUGAAAUUUUUUAUUAUCACAAUGGCAAGACAAAGAACCAUUCCAAACUUGAGGUGUGCAUGAAGUAAUAUUGAUCUGUUUGUCUAAGUUUGCAAAGCACCUAAAAAUACUUUCAAGUUUUUCCUUUUCUGUCAAUGCAUUCCUUGAAUAUGGGUGAGGAUAGUUUGACUUACAAUGUUAGCUCAAGCAAAGAGAAAAGAGGAAAAAGGAAGAAAUGCCAUGUGUUCUCCAGAACAUGUGGUGAGAUUGGGCCACAGAGAAGAAAGGGGAUGGAGGAUGUAACAAAGCAAGUUUCUAAUCGCAUCCCAGUUUAAGAGAGUAUGGGAUUCCUGUUGUUUCCCCUCAAAGGCUGAAAACCCCUCUGCUGCAGUGAUGAAAAGCUGCUUUGCUUAUCCCUGCUAUCUCUGAUAUCUCUCCAGACAACUUCCAUCUUCCCUAGGUACUGUAAUACCCUGGUAGGUAUGCUCUUACAGGGGCACAGCAAUCACAGCAGCUGUUCUGGAAGAGUCUGCCACUUUGCAGUGAUCAUUUGAACCUUUCCUUCUUGACAACACAACAGUUUUAUAACUUCUGAGCUCCUCCUAUUAUACUCAGGAUUGCCAGGAGAAUGGUGAGCCUUCACAGGAUCAAACAAGGCACAACUGUAUCAAAAAAGAAAAUGAAUAUGGAAGAAAUGCUACAGCAUUUCAAUCCUUAAACAGAGCUACUCAGUAAGGGAAAUUUGCAACUGCAGAAUGGCUUUUUAAAAGGAAUGAGAAAAGGCAACAUUUCUAAAAUCAGGAACAUAACUCCAGUUGUCACCUAUUAACACUCUUUAUCCCUGAGCUGGAAGGUGUAAAUAAUACAGUAGAAAUGACCAAAUCACUGCAGGAAGACACAAUAGCAGGUUACUGAGAUCCACUACAAGCAAAGCAUAUGCUUGAUGGCAAAUCUUUUCCCCAUUUCCUACACGAGAUAUUCAUCGGGGUCUGACUUCUAAUUGAAUGCAAAUAAAGAAUAACAGGUUUUUGCAUAUGAAGUGAAGCUAUAGAACAUCUGCCUCUUCACAGCCUUUCUGUGUACCUUAUGUGAUAUUAAGCAAAGAAGAGGUUUGCCUCAUCAGCUUGUAAGAAAUGGUAAAUUUGAAGAACAGUGUGAGAGAACUAAAUCAUUCCACUUCUGCUGUAAAAGGUGUCUCUUUGAUAUCCCCAUGUACUCCUAGGUGAUAAAAUGCCAAGUUGGGCAAAAUCAGUUUCAAUGCCAAAAAGAUGGACUACUGGUGCAGAAGGUCACAAAACACUAUUAAUUGCCUUAUAUCAUCUCAGUCUUGAAAGAUGAUCCAAAAAUACAGGCUAGUGCUUUGGAACAAAGCACACGUUGCUAGCUGGCAUUAUCCAAGCAAGCUGUUAAAGGCACUUUAGGCAUGCUCUUACCUGCAAAUGGAAUAACCUGUCUCCUGCUCUUUUCGCCUCUUUUACAGUAGUCAUUUAUGUUGGUUUUUUACUUCCUCAGCAACCUAAUUCACUAAUUGUGUUUACUGGUAUAGUCAUUUUGUGACCUUUUCAGAAAAAAGCUACAGCAAUCUGAAUGUAAAAGUCAGUGUCCUGAAAUUAGCUUACAUGUUUAUAGGUUAUAGCAUGGACGAACACUGAUGUGGAAAUAAAAACCUGGUUAAAAAAUAGCUACACAAAAUACCAGAGAGGAGCUAGAAAGAUUCCCAGAGAGGAGCUAAAAAAUAUCCCCAUCUCCUACAGCCACUCUUUUGCAGAGUGUGUCUAAAAUAGUGCACCUGAUCUUUUGUCAAAACUCUAAUUAACAUACAUCAAGUAGACAAACAUCAAAAUCAGAUCUAAAAUGCCCAUUGUACAUUCAGUUAAGGAACAAAACAUUUGAGUCUCAAGGAUGGAUGACAUUUGAAGGUGUCUGGAAUAACAUCAGCAAUACAUUUCCAUGCUUGGUACUAUUCAGUGGUGUGAGAGAUGUGCACUGGUGCUUCUGGAGUCUGAGAACAGUACGUGUCCAGCCGUGUGUAAUUCAGGCCCCCAACACACAUUACUUUGGACACGUGCUGUAAGACAAAGAAGCUGAUUUCAGUCCCACCAGAGCCAAGGGUCCUUGGCUGACUUAAUUUCUAACCUUACACCCACUCCAGAGGUGCUGAAUGAGAGGUCCAGUUUCCCAAAGGAACACAGAGUCCUUCUCUCCAGCAUUCCUGGAUUUGAGUUCUGAUCAGGUGGCAGGCAGGAGGGGAAGUGCCGGGGUUGGCUGUUUCUCGUCUCUGCCCCAGCACGGGAAAAGGUGGUUCUGGGUAGGCCGCGCUCUCGAAGAAGGAGUCUGGACUCUUGCUUUUAGGUCUUCAGUCGAGUUUAUUAUUUCUUAUCUACAAAGAUUUUCUGUCUGUCCAGCCGAGGUCUGAUCAGCAAGACAGCCAAAGGCACUCUCCCCCGCCCACGAGGCGGUUGUCUCUUUUAUAAUGAAAAUUACGUAUUAGAUAUUUACCUUUACUUCCCAAUACUUUCUGCUCUUGUUGGCAAGUGCACCUUCACUAUGAACCA